RNAcentral lists this unclassified non-coding RNA (240 nucleotides) under soil metagenome. RNAcentral's name for it is "partial contains 5.8S ribosomal RNA, internal transcribed spacer 2, and large subunit ribosomal RNA". The record is from RNAcentral.
AACCUUAUGGACCUGCGGGCGUAUACCUGCGGAAGGAUCAUUACAGAGUUACUACUCCAAACCCAUUGUGAACCUUACCUAUGUUCUGUUGCCUCGGCGGCGCGGUCAGCGCCCCUCUGAAAAGAGGACGAUGCCCUCCCGCCGGCAGCACCAAACUCUUGAAUUUUACAGCGGAUUACAGUUCUGAUUUAAAAACAAAAAAAACAAGUUAAAACUUUUAACAACGGAUCUCAGAUCGGA